Molecule: long non-coding RNA, 1391 nt
Filed under: Salmo salar (Atlantic salmon)
Lineage: Eukaryota; Metazoa; Chordata; Actinopteri; Salmoniformes; Salmonidae
Description: lncRNA (ENSSSAG00000091585.1)
Source: RNAcentral
UGACCUUCAAUGGGCCUUCUUAAACUAUGUCAAGUAAGAUCUUCUUUUCUGAUGACCUUCUAAGUUACUGAAAACCUUCUCCAUAUUUCGACUUAACCUCACCCUACUCUGCAGCUCCCUCUGACAUUAUUUAACUCUGGUUCCAGCCCUGAAGCAUAGAAGACUGUACAGUUCACUAAACACUGCUUCACUCUGACCUAUCAGCCUCAGAGCCUGGGACACACACACACACACAGACACAGACACAGACGCACACGCGCACACACGCGCACACACACACACACACACACACACACACAGAUACAGACACACACACACACACACACACAUGAACAUACACAUACACACAUGCUACAGGGAUGACUGGGAGAAGGGCAGCGAGCUACAGUGGCAGGGUCAGUGGCUGGCUGUAUGUCACUUCUGUUUAUCAUGAAAGGAGAGAGGGAGAGGAAGAGUGAGAGGAAGAGGGAGAGGGAGAGGAAUAGGAAGAGCGAGAGGGAGAGGAAUAGAAAGAGGAAGAGGAAGAGGGAAAGGGAGAGGAAGAGUGGCGAGAGAGGACUGUAAACUAUAUAACUCCCCCUGAGAAAGAUACUGUGUCACCAUUAUUUCUCUCUCAGUUCCUCUGCUCAUCCAUCACCAUCAGCCGCAAGUUUCCCUCAUAUUACUGCAGAAUAGCCCUAAUUUAUCAUAGAGGGGUCACACACACACACACACACACACACACACACACACACACACACACACACACACACACACACACACACACACACACACACACCCUCUCUGUGUUACAGAUAUGCAAUUUGACCUAUUCUUCUUCCUCCCUCCAGAUUGGAGUGCCCUGGCCUGGGUGUGCCUGAUCACAAUGAACCUCUACCUUAACCUGGUCAAAGAGAGAAGAGCGCCAGCCACUACCAGCUACUGUACCAACUGAUGGCCUGGGGGGUGUCCCUGGUGAUGGCUUCACUACCCCUGUUCAGUGGCUAGUACGGCCCAGAAGGAGCUUGGUGCUGGAUCACAGACGACCACGUAGCCUGGAGAUUUGGGAUUUAAGUGAAAACCUCUCAGCCAACAAAGGGAUGUAGGGAAGAGAGUAGAAGGGAAGGAGAGAGGAGGGGGGUGGUCACUGCGGAGAGAGUGGAAGGGGUUGUGUGUUGGGAGGCCAGAUUUUUUUCCUGUGUGUUUAAUGUUAAGAAUGGAAAACUGGUGUGGAGAAAUGCUCCAUGCAAAAUAUAACGCAAACAACCUCUAUAUUUUAAGGUUUAAUAGACAGACAUAGACAGACAUAGACAGACAUAGACAGACAAAGACAGACAUAGACAGACAUAGACAGACAUAGACAGACAUAGACAGACACAGACAGACACAGACAGACAAAUGCAUAUGGGAAG